GUAGGUGAACCUGCGGAAGGAUCAUUAACGAAUAACUAUGGUGUCUUGGUUGUAGCUGGCUCCUCGGAGCAUUGUGCACGCCCGCCAUUUUUAUCUUUCCACCUGUGCACCGACUGUAGGUGUCUGGAUAACCCUCGUCUUCCUCUCUUGAAGAAGGCGGAUGCGAGGAUUGCCCGUGAGGGCUCUCCUCGAAUUUCCAGGCUCCUACGUCUUUUACACACCCCAACAGUAUGAUAUAGAAUGAUAGUCA
Molecule: unclassified non-coding RNA, 250 nt
Filed under: plant metagenome
Description: partial contains small subunit ribosomal RNA, internal transcribed spacer 1, and 5.8S ribosomal RNA
Source: RNAcentral